RNAcentral lists this ribosomal RNA (164 nucleotides) under Tripos fusus. Its description in RNAcentral is "partial Bacterial large subunit ribosomal RNA". Lineage: Eukaryota; Dinophyceae; Gonyaulacales; Ceratiaceae. The record is from RNAcentral.
CCCGAAUACCUGCGAUCUAACCAUCUGUGUUACAUCAUUCUUCCUUGAGCCUAGUGAAGAUUGAAAUGUGGAGGGUUACAAACCUGCCAUACUACUGAUAGUUUGAGGUUAAAUGUCAUACGAGCUGUGUUAAUAUCUGGAUGUGUUCGAAACCUGUAUAGGUU